RNAcentral lists this transfer RNA (74 nucleotides) under Pythium insidiosum. Its description in RNAcentral is "tRNA-Lys". It matches the Rfam family "tRNA". From Rfam's summary of the family: Transfer RNA (tRNA) molecules are approximately 80 nucleotides in length. Their secondary structure includes four short double-helical elements and three loops (D, anti-codon, and T loops). The record is from RNAcentral. Lineage: Eukaryota; Oomycota; Peronosporomycetes; Pythiales; Pythiaceae.
GCCCGUCUAGCUCAGUCGGUAGAGCGCUGGCCUUUUAAGCCAGUGGUCGUUGGGUUCGAGCCCCACGGGGGGCG